Molecule: non-coding RNA, 107 nt
Organism: Brugia malayi
Lineage: Eukaryota; Metazoa; Nematoda; Chromadorea; Rhabditida; Onchocercidae
Source: RefSeq, a predicted model, not a curated record
UUAUAAAAUAGCCAUAAGCCCGUAAAUGCACUAUGUUGCUAAUUAUGUGCGUUUGGAAAUUAGCAGCACGGCGCAUUUGCGCGCAAUCUGGCAAUGCCUAUUAAUAC